RNAcentral lists this ribosomal RNA (506 nucleotides) under uncultured bacterium. RNAcentral's name for it is "partial 16S ribosomal RNA". It matches the Rfam family "Bacterial small subunit ribosomal RNA", at positions 29 to 523 of the family's 1533-position model. The record is from RNAcentral.
AGUGAACGCUGGCGGUAGGCCUAACACAUGCAAGUCGAACGGCAGCACAGGAGAGCUUGCUCUCUGGGUGGCGAGUGGCGGACGGGUGAGGAAUACAUCGGAAUCUACUCUGUCGUGGGGGAUAACGUAGGGAAACUUACGCUAAUACCGCAUACGACCUACGGGUGAAAGCAGGGGAUCUUCGGACCUUGCGCGAUUGAAUGAGCCGAUGUCGGAUUAGCUAGUUGGCGGGGGAAAGGCCCACCAAGGCGACGAUCCGUAGCUGGUCUGAGAGGAUGAUCAGCCACACUGGAACUGAGACACGGUCCAGACUCCUACGGGAGGCAGCAGUGGGGAAUAUUGGACAAUGGGCGCAAGCCUGAUCCAGCCAUACCGCGUGGGUGAAGAAGGCCUUCGGGUUGUAAAGCCCUUUUGUUGGGAAGGAAAUCCAGCUGGCUAAUACCCGGUUGGGAUGACGGUACCCAGAGAAUAAGCACCGGCUAACUUCGUGCCAGCCGCCGCGGUAA